RNAcentral lists this long non-coding RNA (4497 nucleotides) under Sus scrofa (pig). RNAcentral describes it as "lncRNA (ENSSSCG00000052777.1)". The record is from RNAcentral. Lineage: Eukaryota; Metazoa; Chordata; Mammalia; Artiodactyla; Suidae.
AAAGGCAUUUAUUUAAAAUAAGUAGAGUAACUUGUACAUUGAUUAAAUGGUCUAUCUCUUUAGGUAGAUCAUGGAAUUGCAAUUUAGCAUAUAGAGUUGAAGAGAGCAUCAAUUAAAGUUAUAGCUAAGCUGAGUCAGGUGCUCAUCAGAGGAGAUGGGAUUAAAGAUCGGUUUAAAAAAACAUAAACCCCCAAGUAUGCAAAACCUAGAUGCAAUAAUAUAAUGAAAACACAAAAUCAAACCAAUUGAGAUAAAAAUGAAGCACUUACCUAGUAUGAUCACCUGAAAAGCGUGGCAAAUUCCUACAAAUUGCAGGAAUUCAUAUUGCAAAGUAUUCAGCAAAACUUCUGUGUAGUUCUAUAGAAAGCUCAGAAAAAUCCUGCAAUAUCUUGCAAAGUGCUCCACAGGUAUCCAAUACUUUUGAACUGAUAUCAUUCUACCUUCCUCAAUGGGUCCAAAUCAUAUAACCACUGGUCUCCAAGUGAUGAAAAGGUAAGCCCUGGAGAAAUGGAGGAUUGGUUUUCAGUUUUGAGGAUGGGCUAGAGAUCAAAAAUCUACUACUCAGAGGUACCCUGGAUACCAAAAAAAAUACAAAUAAAAAAUGCUCUUUUGAUUAUUUUUUAAAGUAUUUGCUUCUAAAAAGGACAGAAUCCCCCAACCUUCCAACCCAUAUUUUAAUAACCCAACAAUGAAAGAGAAAUAUUUGACAGAGGGUGCAUUGGAUGUUGAUGAUCUCCAACUGCUUCCAAAUCUGCAUACAUAAAACUCUAACAAAUCCCUACACAAUGAACCAACUGAAUGGGGCUCUAUUUAUCUGCCGCUGAAGAAUAAAGGGCCAAGCCAAUCCUAUUGACAGUUAAGUCUGUAGUUUCCAACAUAUCACUGAGGUCACUAACCCACCACUACAGGACAGGCUGACAAACAGCUGAUGUGCUCAACAAAAAUUAGGGCUCAAAUCAAUUCACUGCUGAAACCCAAUUUAAGGAGCUCUCAGUUUGCACAGUUUUGGUUGAUCAAAUUCAGAGAUGGGAUUCGAUUCAUAUUUCAGUAAUGAAGAUCAGGGUUGGGAACUGAUAUAUUGAAAGGUGUAUUUUUCCAUUUCUUCUCCACAUAAAAUAUUCAUGGAUGCCAUGUUCUACAGUGUACUCUGACAGUGUAACAGCUGCCAAAAACCUGGUACCUGAGGCCACUUUUACAUCAAUAAAUUAUCGAAGGUUACAUCUGUAGCAAGAUAGCUUUAUUUGGCCAAGCAAAUAAUACCAAGGUACGUAACAUAGUUAUCCCAGCUUUUGUUUUCUAGAGGGUGGACUAUUGUUACACUCUGUACUGCAGAGCAUGCUGGGAAGCCCUGACCAAGAGGUAAGGAGGAAAAAUACUUGCCUUUGUGCUCUACUAGAGGCAGUAUGAUAUUAAGGAAAGGUCAUAAUUUGGAGUCAAGCAUCAGAAGCUGUGUGAGAGUGACCAGAUUAUUUUACCUCUCUGAUAAUACAGUUUGUCCAUCGUUAAAAUAGGGAUGUUCCUCUACCUCCCUGCAUGGUCCUUGAGAUCAAUAAAUAGACAAUGUCUCUAAAAGGUCUGCCAUUAGAUGGACAGUCAGUUAAUGUUAUUCAGGUGCUACCUUCUAACAAUGUAUCUCAUUGUACUGAAACACCAAGUAUUGCAUUUAUCACAAGUUCUGGAGGGCUUCUCUCUCCCUUUAGGAAAAUUGGCUGAGUGUUGAAAUUCAAUUUUCUGGAGUCCUAAAGAAGUUGGUUUCAUAAAUGGAAGAUUUCUUCUUUUGUCAUUCUCACUCUCUUUGUCGUAUCCUCACUUGGUGCUUUGGAAAUCUAAGGAAUCUCCAAAUGUGGAAUGUGCUGAAUACAGGGGGGCACAACCCCAAUAAAACCACCAACCAUCUGGUCCAAUAUUGAUGUUAAAGACUUUAUAUUUUGAAAGCACUUUUAAAACUUUAUCACCGAAUUCUUUUUGUUUUUCAACUAAAAAAAAGGAUAUAAGAACAAGUGGGUGACCUCACACCAAAGAUCACAGAAGGUUCUGGUAGGCAGCAUGGGAUUCAUGCCUAGCUUUGUGGCUCAGGCCUGUUGACCAAUAUUCCUGCUAACUCAUUCUCAGGUUCAGUGUCAGCCAUGUGCCAGCCUGCAGGAGGAACUUUAAAAAUAAUUGUUUCACAAUGAGGCAGAACCUCUUGGACACCAAUUCCCCCCGCCUCUCCCCCACCCCCCCAACUCUGGCCAAAGUAUAUACCUCUAAGACUCCUUGCAAGGUGAGCACCCUUGCAAACUGGGUUCACUCUUUUGGGCCUUUUAGCAACUUUAAAAAAAAAAAAUCAAUGAAAAAGAAAACAACAAUAGCUACAUUUUGUUGCUUCUGCUAUUUACCAGAUAGGAUUCUAAUCUCUUUACAGGCAUUCCAUCUAAUCCUUACAAAUAAGGCAUUUCAAAAAUUCAGUUUAAAGACAUUGAAAUUAAGCCUCAGUGAAGGUGAGUGGCUUGGCCUUGUCUACAAGUCUAAAGAAUAUGAAUCUAGUCCUCUGUGGCUUCAAAGCUGGCUCUUUCCACCACACCAUACUGCCUUCUUAAAUCAAUUAGUUAAUACGCUAAUAGUGAAGCAUAGUAAGUCAAGGGAUCCUCAAUCUUACUUCCUUACCCAUUAGUCCCCUUUGCUGAGCACACUGCCCUGAUCCCAGUCAAUAGAGUAAGGAGGGGAAGCAACAGAGGUGUUUUACCUGGUUGCCAAGAAAAUCAUCCUCUCAGUAUCCAAGAGAUGGAGCACACCCAGUGAACCUACCAGGCUCCAGUAGCCUGGCCCUGUCUUAGCAACAGGAAGCACAGAUUUUUUUUUUUUUUCCAUUGACAUUUCAAGGAGGGCCUUAUUGCAGGAAUAUAGAUUACUGGGUAAUGCCCUAUGAUACCUGACCACUAUAGGGUGACAUCAUAUCUGAGUGCAGAUCACAGAGCACUACUGGUUCUUUCCUCUUUCUGGCAGAAGUGGUGCCAUUUGGGGGCAGGGUCUAGGGUGACUCAGAAACAACUUGAGCCCUGAGGAAACAGAGUGAAGGGAUGAAAGCCACCAUCUCACAGGAGCUGAGAGCGUGUCCAGAAGAUAGCAUUUUGGAAAGCUUAUGGCCUCACACCCGUCAUCCCAGGGGGUGAGCUGUGAGUUCUCUUCUUCAGAAGAGGCCAACUUUUGACUCACUUGAUCUUCUGAGUACAGCACUGUGGUUUCCAUCCUGCCUCCCACUUAGUGACCACCUAUGUCAAAUGCCUGCACCUCCGGAGUUUGGAAAACACAUCCCAAUGCAGCAUGGCCUCAAGCUAACAAAGGCAGCCUCCACGGUAGCACACCUCUUUCACUGCCAAAUUGUCCAGUAUUUGACUUAAGUGGAAAUGGCUGUUCAUUGGCUAGGUUCAUUAGUGAAAAAUGUUUCAACGGUUCCAUUUAACAACCUGGAAUGUCCUUUGGAGAAGGCCAAAUUAAUGUGAUUUUUACCUUAAGAAGCUUAGAAACAUAGCUGCCACUAACUCAAUAAUUACAUUGUACUGCCAGCAACAAUUCAAUAUUUUUUUCUUGCCUGAGGGUUACAACACAUUUGCACCGUGGGGAAGCUUUUUCUCUUUACAUCUCAAAACUGUACCACAAACUCUUCCUUUAUUCAUAACAGCGAGAUCUCCAGCUGAGAUAGGCACUUUUGUAUUGCUCUGGAUGACAGUUUUCUGUGUUCUUUCCAAGCACAGGGGGUUUAAUAAACAUAUCUGGCAGGCCUUCCAUCGCUGGAGGGCCCAGGAUGACACUGUGUGCAAACAAUAUGCUCACACUGGAGGAAAACAAGUUUAUUCAAUUAUUCAAUUAAUAGAUUACAGUCAAGAUACUUGUUAUCCUACAAUGAAAAAUGGGGCAAGAACUCCAAGAAUUAGGAUAGGUCCCAGGAUUAGUAACAGCAGGCAAUAUGGCAUAUACAGAUCAUGAGUCUGGCCAAAAGCAUGAAAAUGUCCCCCCCCACACACACACACACACACUGUGUCUAUACCCUUCAAAAGGGGGACUCAGACUCCUAGAACCAAAUAUUAUAAGGGUCUUAACUCAUUAAAUACCUAAGCAUACUUUAGUUCUGGGUUAACGCUUGAGGGUAAGGAGGAAGUUGACAUCAGAAGGAGCAGGUAUAUGAGCAGCUCUAUAUUCCGCUCUCACAGAAUUCAAAAGAAUUCUGGAGAGAGAUGUUGGUAGAAUUUUCUCUGUGCAAACAAAGUAUUUUUGCAGGGUUUCAUGAUUAAUUCCCUUUCAGUUCCAGGGUUAGUCCUUUCCUAAAUGCAGAACAUCUUAGAAUGUUCUCCACCCCAGAACUUCUCACUCUGAAGCAGUUGGCUUCAGAGUGAAGUUUUAUCUAGUUUGUAUAGAUAUGUUAAGAUCUCCUUAACAAGAAAAGGACUACCACACUUAAAGUUGUGGUUCAGAGGCAGGGAGGCAACUUUUCUCUCCAUGGGGUAUUAGUAUAUUAUG